Molecule: transfer RNA, 70 nt
Filed under: Marmota monax (woodchuck)
Lineage: Eukaryota; Metazoa; Chordata; Mammalia; Rodentia; Sciuridae
Description: tRNA.Ala
Source: RNAcentral
GGGCUGGGGCUCAGCGGUAGAGCACUUGCCUAGCAUGUGUGAGGUGCUGGGUUCGAUCCUCAGCACCACA